Long non-coding RNA from Quercus lobata, 3766 nucleotides. RefSeq lists it as uncharacterized. NCBI's taxonomy places the organism in Eukaryota, Viridiplantae, Streptophyta, Magnoliopsida, Fagales, Fagaceae. The record is from RefSeq and is a predicted model, not a curated record. The transcript is spliced from 13 exons.
AUGGAAGCUUUGCCUGAGUGGUUGGGCAACCUUUCUUCUGUUCGAAGCUUGCAUCUUUGGAAAUGCAUGAAUCUUAUGUAUCUGCCAACAGCGGAAGCGAUGCAACACCUCACCGAAUUAAAUAUUUAUGAUUGCCCCAAAUUAAAGGAAAGAUAUGUGAAGGGAAGCGGCGCAGAGUGGCUCAAAAUUGCCCAUAUUCCAGAUAUCUUUCUCCCCUGAAAACGGAUUAAAGGGUAGUUGUGCAUAUUGGUCCAAGACAGAUCAGAGUGGGAAAAAAAAAAAGAGGAAAGUUCUCCUAUUCAAGAGCUGCAAACGAUCAAAAAUCAAGGGCCGCUCACCAAAUUAGAGAAGUUGAAGAUAUUUUUGGUCAAAGUAAUACAAAAACAAUGUGAGGAUUCUACGCCAUUCUAAGCUCUGAUUUUCAAUCAGCCAAACUUUGACACCCAAGAACUUUCUUAGUUGGAGGGGUCAUAUUUUGAGGAUCUUUACUUUGCACAGAUGAGGCGUCAAUGGUGGCUUCUGAUUUGGCACAGGGUUAACUUUUUCUCUCUUCAAGAUCAGAAUAUUGGGUACAAGAAUGCUGCUUUCAGGGAACCAAGCAAGAGGACCAAUCCCUUACUAAAGAGAUGCUCUCUGGAGUUGUUUCUGGUGGUCAAUAGUUCGGUAGAAGUUAUUGCCGUGUUAUGCUCACUUUACAGUAAAAGCUGAAUAUUUCAUGUUGGUUGCUGUCAGAAUUGUUAACGAUUGCACAGAGUCUAAUGGGGUAUGAAUUUAAUUACUAUCUGAGUGAAGUUCAUCAAAAUUAAGUGGUUGGGAAACCUUUUCUCUCUUCAACAUUUGAUACUUAUUUGGAUGCAAGUGGUUGCCAUGGAUUGGCUCACCAAUUUGCAAGACCUAUUCUUUCAUAACUGCCUCAAGUUAAAUGAUAGAAGCGCUGAGAGUAUCGAUCAAUUCUGGUCCAAUGACAGGGAAUGGAUUUAAGAGGAAGCUGUUUGAAGUUCACACAUAUAUUAUCACAACAAUUUGUGGCCAAACUCCAUUACAUUCAGUUGGAAGAACAAUUAAUUAAUUUUACGGAGUUCAUUAGAAGUUUGUCAAAGGUGGGGAAGAUUCUAUUUAGGAGCAACAUAUAGGAAUUAUGUGAUUGCACAAAGCUGAAGUACCCAUACAUUGGCUCACCACAUUAUUACAUAACCAAGAGGAAGUAUGUGGCAAAUAUAACGCCUCAGGUUUUCUAGUAGCAUCUUGAAGUUUAUGUGAUAUCAGGAUGUGGCAAUUUGCUAUUUCUUGCAUAACAUUUUUACUUUCUUCAAGUUUUUCGCAUUAUUUGGGCAUAAUUUUUUUGUAGGAAGAAAUGGUACUUUCAACUUAGGUCCUCUAAUGUGCGAAUAGGUUUGGGUACUUAAGCUGUCUAAUUCUCUUUCUUGUGAAGUUUUUGUUAUUUUCUUUUUUCUUGCCCUUCCCCCAACAUAAUAGAAUGCAUAAAAUGGGUUUUAUUUUAUUUUAUUUUAAAAAUAUUAUAAUAUUGCUUGCAUACGUGUCAUCAAGAAAGUUUUGAUUCCCACAAAAUUAUGUUUAUUUUCCCAAUAUUAUAUGUUCUUGCGCUUUAGCCAAUCAUUAGGUUUUCUUAUAUACUUUUAAUAACUUGAUCAAUAAUUGCUCUCUUUUCUGAAAAAGUUAGAAUGCACUAAGCAUGAUAAACAUAUGCUAGAAUUUUGAAAUACAAUCAAGGAUCGGUAAUUACCAAGCAUUAUGUCAUAUUCAAAAAUGAAAAAUAGACUCUUUACAUCAAUACUUGCCAUAAUGUGCUCUUCUUGAUGAAGGAAAAGGCAGGGGAGAGAUGGAAUAUGAUAUUUCCUGCUGAACUUAGUCAAGGCAGUAAGGAUAGGAACAAUUCAUUUUCUUCCCCUACUUAUUAUAAAUUCCUACAAAAGUUUAUGGUGAGUAAAUGUCAUUUCAUCUUUUUUAUAUUGAUACCUAUUUAUAUCAUUAGUUGGAGUCACUAAAUGUUGAUGAUGUUGGAUCCUUUCUGGAGUGGUGGGUGAUGUAGAAUAGAGCUCAUUAGAAGUCUGUGUGCAGAAAAUUCAAGAAGUGGAAAAGUACUAUUAGAAGUCAUUGGAGAUAACAGCAAAAUUGCAUGAAAUUUGGUGACACGAAGGGAAAUGGUGCUACUCAUAGCCUUCGGCCACGAUCAAACCUACUUUUUGGCUUCUGCAACAAUAGUGGGGCAGCUUCAUAUCUUCUAAAUAAAUGAAGCCUAAGAACAAGAAUGCACUACCUUCUAGUAAAGAGAGGUGUGAUCCCUCUCAAUGGAAACCUAAGAGGAAGAUUUGGCACAAUGGUUGAGGAUUUAUUUUAACUUAUAAUCUUGUGAAGCCUUAGAUUAUAGACAAAAGAUCGGUCAUAAUCCAGAAAUCACAAAAGGCGGACUUACAAAUUGAUUCUAGUGCUUUUUUUUUCCUCUCACUAAAAUUUAUUUGUAGAUGACCUUAAAGUCCAAUUUGCUGUACAGAUUGCACUAUAAGGAAGUAUAACUUUAGAUUCAAAUCAAAUUAAACGAGAGGGUUAGCAUCUUCUUUCUUUUGGGAUCAAAUUAUAAUGUUGGGUCAGCUGGAACCAUAACUUGAAUGUACCUGCAAGUGUCAAUUGGGUGUAUUAGGAUUCCUGACAAUUUGUCUGCUGUUCAAAUCCUAUUUUAUGGUUUCCUAACUUAAAGUCUCUGUAGCAGUGACUUCAGCAAUUUUCUAGACUAUGAGAUGUCUGCAAGAAAUUGAAGUGCUCAAUUAAGAAGAGCAACUCGAAACUCAAUUUUGAUGCAUUUUUUUGUUGUCUAAGAUCCAGUUAUGCACUAAGAAAUACAUCUGGUGACUAGGCAUCUUGAACACUUGACUGAUUGUUAAAAUCAUUUCACAGAUAAUCACUACUACAAAUCUCUGCAAAGAGCAUAUAACAGUCUGAAAAGUUGACAGUUUUUAACUUAAAUGGGUAAAUAUGAAGUCCACUUCCAGAAGGGAAUAGUUAAAAGCGCUGGAUAUUCACUCUUUAGUGCCAUUCUAGUUUUUGAUUCCGUGGGCUGGUAUCUUGGAAAACAUCAAAAGGUAAUGCCAAUUGCAUCAGAAUGUGAAGUGUGCUGAUCAGCAGAGACAUCAUUGCUGCCUGUAUUUAAGACUCCAAUCUUGAUAAUAGGUGACCUCAUCUGCCACGACAAUAGAAUGUCUUCUCUAGGAACUGACUUUAUAUACUGAAGGCAUUGAAAUUUAUCUUCGACCUACAGCCGAAGUAAGGGAGAUAUGGCAAGCUACAAUGAUCCAUAUUGCCCAAGAAGGUGGAUGCUUUGUUCUAUCUUCGAACCAAUUCUGCAGAAAGGGAAGACUAUCCACUGUCAACAGAAACGUAUGUCAAUACAAUAAGAAGUAUUGCACAUGGUGUUUUUUUAUUAUUAUCCAGUUGUGACCAUUUUGGCUGAACCUAAUUUCCAAGGGAGUCUCUCAUCCUAAACAAUCUUUUCCUCUCUUAAUGUUCCAGAACUUGGAGGGUGUUUGAGCAAAGCUAGAUUUUAGUGGAAAUAGGCAUCGAGUGGGACCAAACUCAGUCAAUCUUACUCUGAAUAUAUUCAAUCCAAUUUCUUUUACAACUUCUUUCAAAGCGGAAGUUCUUGAUGAGCUGCAAUUAAGACUUAGCUGUGUAAAAAGUUAUUAAAUAAAUUUCUUCUUGUUGUCCUCUUGCCAAACAGCUAAUCUAGGCUUUGUAUAUAUCCAAUAUCUUU